This is a long non-coding RNA of Cebus imitator (Panamanian white-faced capuchin), 1428 nucleotides long. RefSeq lists it as uncharacterized. The record is from RefSeq and is a predicted model, not a curated record. Lineage: Eukaryota; Metazoa; Chordata; Mammalia; Primates; Cebidae. The transcript has 2 exons.
AGGCACGUGCAGAGAGAGAGAGAGACACAUGAGACACAGAGACACACACACACACACACACACACACACACACACACGUGAAAAGGAUUAAACUAGGUUCAAAGGAUUCGUGUUCUCCAAUUGCCUACAAUUAAAGCCCUCAGUAUGACUUUCAAAUAUUUAAAUUGUAAUAAAUUUUUUUAAAACAAAGGUAUCUGGUCAAAGAAGAGUCACAAGGGAAAUCAGAAAAUACUUUGAGAUGAAAGAAAAUGAAGACAACAUACCAAAACUUAUCAGAUACAAUUGAAGCGGUGCUUAGAAAUAAUUCCUUAAAAUGCCUCUACUAAAAAAGGGCAUCUCAAAUAAACAGCCUAAUCUUCCACCUUUAAGAUAAUGGAAAAAAAAAAGUAAAUUGUUCCAAAAGCAAGACAGAAGCAAGGAAAUACUAAAUACUAGAAUGGAAACUAAUGAAGUAGAGAGUACAAAAACUGCAGUGAAAAGUCAAUGAAACCAGAAGCUGAUUCUUUGAAAAGAUCAAAAUAGACAAACCUUUAGCCAGCUAGAUUGACCAAGAAAAUACAGAGGACAAAUUACUAAAUCAGAAAUAAAAACAGGCCAUCAUUACCUAGCUUACAGAAAUAAAAAUUAUACUAAUAAAAAAGAAAAAGAAAAAUUAUAAAAAAAACUUUUAUGUACAACUAUAUGCAACUAAAUAGGAAAAUUUAGAUGAAUUAGUCCAGUUUCCAGAAAUAAAAAAUCCCAAAACUUAAGAAAUAAAAACCUGCACUGGUGAGAUAAUUCCAAAAGAAAAAAAGAAAAGAAAUAAAAAAGCUGAGUAGUUGUAUAACAAAAGAUUUAAAUGGUAAUUUUUUUAAAUAGUAAUUUUUUAAAGCACCGUCAAAGAAAAAUCCAUGCCCAGGUGGCUUCACUGGUUAAUUCUACCAACCAUUUUCAGAAAAACUGACAGCAAUUCUUUACAAAUGCUUCCCAAUUUAUUCUUUGAAGUCAGUUAUUACCCUGCUACCAAGACCAGACAGACAUCACUAGAAAACUAUAGAUUGGUGUUUCUUCUGAAAUGCAAAAUUUCUCAACAAAAUACUAGCAAACUGAAUCCAGCGAUAUAAACAAAGGAUUAUAUACCACAACCAACUGGGAUUUGUUCCAGGAAUGCAAGCUUGUUUCAAGAUUCAGAAAUAAAUGCAAUACAUUAUAAAUAGAAAAAAAAAAAAAAAAGGAAUCACUCUUUGGUCACUCUAGAGAAAACUAACAACAACAACAAAAAAGUUAAAAUUUCCUUAAACUUUAAAAAAUGGGACAAAAGGUGGGGCAUGGUGAGUGCUUGCCUGUGAUCCCAGAACUACAUGAGGCAGAAGUGAGAGGAGCACUCAAGGACAGGAGUCUGAAACCAGCCUGGACAACAGAGUGAGACCCCUGUCUCUACCAAAAAAA